AUUGAACGCUGGCGGCAUGCCUUACACAUGCAAGUCGAACGGUAACAGGUCUUCGGAUGCUGUCGAGUGGCGAACGGGUGAGUAAUACAUCGGAACGUGCCUAGUAGUGGGGGAUAACUACUCGAAAGAGUGGCUAAUACCGCAUGAGAUCUACGGAUGAAAGCAGGGGAUCGCAAGCCCUUGCUCUACUAGAGCGGCCGAUGGCAGAUUAGGUAGUUGGUGGGAUAAAAGCUUACCAAGCCGACGAUCUGUAGCUGGUCUGAGAGGACGAUCAGCCACACUGGGACUGAGACACGGCCCAGACUCCUACGGGAGGCAGCAGUGGGGAAUUUUGGACAAUGGGCGCAAGCCUGAUCCAGCAAUGCCGCGUGCAGGAUGAAGGCCUUCGGGUUGUAAACUGCUUUUGUACGGAACGAAAAGCCCUGGGCUAAUACCCUGGGGUCAUGACGGUACCGUAAGAAUAAGCACCGGCUAACUACGUGCCAGCCGCCGCGGUAA
RNAcentral lists this ribosomal RNA (498 nucleotides) under uncultured bacterium. RNAcentral's name for it is "partial 16S ribosomal RNA". It matches the Rfam family "Bacterial small subunit ribosomal RNA", at positions 30 to 523 of the family's 1533-position model. The record is from RNAcentral.